GAUAUUAUAGCAUAGGGGUUAUGCAGAGUACUGUUAAUGCUUUUUACAGAGGUUCGAAUCCUCUUAAUAUCU
Non-coding RNA from Tulasnella sp. 419, 72 nucleotides. Lineage: Eukaryota; Fungi; Basidiomycota; Agaricomycetes; Cantharellales; Tulasnellaceae. The record is from the annotation of a GenBank genome assembly.